Zingiber officinale is the source of this 2750-nucleotide RNA transcript. It is a transcript of the gene named protein ACTIVITY OF BC1 COMPLEX KINASE 7, chloroplastic-like, with no coding region annotated. Lineage: Eukaryota; Viridiplantae; Streptophyta; Magnoliopsida; Zingiberales; Zingiberaceae. The transcript is spliced from 20 exons. The record is from RefSeq and is a predicted model, not a curated record.
CAAGUUGAGGCACGCAGCGUCAUCGCGCGGCGGCAGUUAAGCCUCACUUUGUUUUGUCCGGUAGCAGAAUCCGCCCAAACCCACCCAUGAUCCAAUCGCUUCAUUUCCUUUCGCUUGCGCCUUGCAUACGGAUCUCCACUGCCGCUCUCAGACGCUUGUCUUGCCUGUACUCCUGUCUCUGGCGACCUCCGAGGCGAUUAGGCCCUGAAGAUCUCCAGGAGUCUUUUAGCGAUCUUGUUCUUCAAUGGCAGCUGUUCUGGCUUCCUGUAGGUGUUAUCAACGACAAUUAGAAUCCAUAAAUCAAGGACGAUGCUUGGGAGAUCUCAGUUUUUCAGGAUCAAUUUCCAAUUUGAAAUUUGCCAAGUUCACAACAACAAUAAAUGAAUCCUCAGCAACAAAGAAACUUCCACGGGUCUUAGCAAAAGUGCAACAGGAACAAGCUGAUAAGUUUGGAACUAAUGGAAGGCCGACUAAAAUGGUCUCCAACACUAACAGAAGGGAAACCAAAAUGGUUUCAACUAAGAAUUUGGUGACACAUAAGGACUCUUCUCGUCAAAAAUCAUUGUCAAUGCAUAAUUCAAAUGUGAUGGUUAAUGGUGUUAGUCUGAUUAAGAGGAAUAGUACGGCAACUCUUAGUAAAACUGAAAAGAAAGAUCCAAAAGUGAUCCCUGAUACAGAUGAGCUAAAAGUUUUACCUUCAGAUGAGGGUUUUAGCUGGGCCAAGGAAAACUACAACUCUUUGCAAAGGACUAUUGACAUCUGGUCCUUUGUUGUUUCCUUCCGAUUGCGGGUUCUCUUUGACAAUGAAAAAUGGGCAUACUUUGAGGGAUUUACGGAGGAAAAGCAGAAACUAAGAAGGAAAAAGACUGCUUCAUGGUUGAGAGAACAAGUUCUUCAACUUGGUCCAACUUUUAUAAAACUAGGACAGUUAUCUUCAACAAGAUCCGAUUUAUUCCCAAGAGAGUUUGUAGAUGAACUUGCUAAGUUACAGGAUAGAGUACCUGCAUUUUCACAUGAAAAAGCAAAAGCAUUUGUGCAGAGUGAAUUGGGUUGCCCAAUCGAAGUAUUAUUUAAGGAAUUUGAAGACCGCCCAAUUGCCGCUGCUAGUCUCGGUCAGGUGCAUCGAGCUAUCCUUCAUAGUGGUGAGCAAGUUGUUGUGAAAAUUCAGAGGCCGGGGCUAAAGAAACUUUUCGACAUUGAUCUAAGAAACUUGAAGCUGGUUGCUGAAUAUUUUCAAAGAAGUGAGACGUUUGGAGGUCCUACAAGGGAUUGGAUUGGUAUAUAUGAUGAAUGUGCAAAGAUAUUAUACCAAGAAAUUGACUAUAUCAAUGAAGGAAAGAAUGCUGACAGAUUUUGUCGGGAUUUUAGAAACAUAAAGUGGGUCAGAGUACCUCUUAUCCGUUGGGAUUACACCACUAUGAAAGUUCUGACCAUGGAGUAUGUUCCUGGCACAAAAAUAAAUAACUUGGAACAGAUAGAUGCAAGAGGCUACAGCCGAUCCAUCAUAGCUUCCCGUGCAAUAGAAUCAUACUUGAUUCAGAUUUUAAAGACGGGUUUCUUUCAUGCGGAUCCCCAUCCAGGCAAUCUUGCUAUUGACAAGGAUGUGUCACUUAUCUAUUAUGACUUUGGAAUGAUGGGUGAAAUAAAAUCUUUCACAAGAAAGAGAUUACUUGAUUUGUUUUAUUCAGUGUACGAAAAGGAUGCAAACAAGGUCAUGAAAUCUCUGAUUGAUCUUGAAGCACUACAACCAACAGGAGACUUGUCACCAGUGAGGAGAUCGAUUCAAUUUUUCUUGGAUAAUCUUUUGAGUCAAACACCUGAUCAGCAACAGACUUUGGCAGCGAUUGGCGAGGAUUUGUUUGCAAUAGCAACUGAUCAGCCAUUCCGCUUCCCAUCUACCUUUACGUUUGUAAUAAGAGCAUUUUCAACUCUGGAAGGUAUUGGGUAUACGUUGGAUCCUGACUUUUCCUUUGUGAAGAUUGCUGCUCCAUAUGCUCAGGAACUACUUGACAUACGACAGGAACAACGGGGUGGAGCUGAACUUGUUCAAGAGAUACGUAAACAAGCUAAUGAUGCUCGGGAUUCUACAAUCUCAAUGCCAUACAGGAUACAGAGAAUAGAAGACAUUGUGACCCAACUCGAGUCAGGAGAUCUAAAACUCCGAGUUAGAGUGCUUGAGUCAGAAAGAGCUGCAAGAAAAGCCUCAGUGUUGCAGAUGGCUACCAUUUAUACAGCCGCAAGUGGAACCUUACUGAAUAUUGGAGUCACACUGAGCAGUCUGGGAAACCAACCGAUUGCAAAUGGAUCUUUUAUUGGUGCUGGACAAGGGUCGUCCUCUGCCCAAAUUUGGCGAGUGGGAUGUCAAUGAUCCUGCUUCUGCAGAGGGUUUCACUGUGAUCUUUAACAAAGCUCGAGAUGAGAGGAAAACAAGUGCCAAGACUAACGAACAGAGGAAGUCUAGCAAGGAGGAGAUGGCUUUUAAACAAGGACCUUAUACUUCCAAGGCACAUGCUAAGAAAUGGUUUUGCUGCAUGGCACCGGCAGAACAAUGAGGAAGGAAGCCUGUGACGAUUUGCAGAAGCAGCUGAGUGAAGGCUAAAUGGCAUUUGAACGAAGAAGAAAAACUGGGAUGAAGAAGAAAAUCUGGAUUACAUGUUUGAUAUUUUUGUGUAGUUUUGUUUUCCAUGGUUCAAUCCUUUGUUUCUGUUAAACAAUUUGCACUCAUAUGUAUACAUGUAUGAAUUAAGGGA